Molecule: ribosomal RNA, 400 nt
Filed under: uncultured bacterium
Lineage: Bacteria
Description: bacterial SSU rRNA
Rfam family: Bacterial small subunit ribosomal RNA
Source: RNAcentral
GACGAACGCUGGCGGCGCGCUUUAUACAUGCAAGUCGAACGUGAAGCUCGGAGCUUGCUCCGGGUGGAAAGUGGCGAACGGGUGAGUAUCACGUGAGAAACCUGCCCCGAAGACCGGGAUAACACCGGGAAACCGGUGCUAAUACCGGAUGCCCUCACCGGAUCGCAUGGUCUGGUGAGGAAAUGGAUUCCGCUUCGGGAUGGUCUCGCGGCCUAUCAGCUUGUUGGUGGGGUAAUGGCCCACCAAGGCUUCGACGGGUAGCUGGUCUGAGAGGAUGUCCAGCCACACUGGGACUGAGACACGGCCCAGACUCCUACGGGAGGCAGCAGUGGGGAAUCUUGCGCAAUGGGCGAAAGCCUGACGCAGCGACGCCGCGUGAGGGAUGACGGCCUGGUGUAAC